Molecule: ribosomal RNA, 440 nt
Filed under: uncultured bacterium
Lineage: Bacteria
Description: partial 16S ribosomal RNA
Rfam family: Bacterial small subunit ribosomal RNA
Source: RNAcentral
CCUACGGGAGGCAGCAGUGGGGAAUCUUAGACAAUGGGGGAAACCCUGAUCUAGCCAUGCCGCGUGGACGAUGAAGGCCUUAGGGUUGUAAAGUCCUUUCAGCUGGGAAGAUAAUGACGGUACCAGCAGAAGAAGCCCCGGCUAACUCCGUGCCAGCAGCCGCGGUAAUACGGAGGGGGCUAGCGUUGUUCGGAAUUACUGGGCGUAAAGCGCACGUAGGCGGAUCAGCAAGUUAGAGGUGAAAUCCCAGGGCUCAACCCUGGAACUGCCUUUAAAACUGUUGGUCUUGAGUUCGAGAGAGGUGAGUGGAAUUCCGAGUGUAGAGGUGAAAUUCGUAGAUAUUCGGAGGAACACCAGUGGCGAAGGCGGCUCACUGGCUCGAUACUGACGCUGAGGUGCGAAAGCGUGGGGAGCAAACAGGAUUAGAUACCCGUGUAGUC